GAGGUGGUGGCGCAAUGGCAGCGCAGUGGACUCCAGGUUAAGUGUCAUCCAAAGGUUAUCGGUUCGAUUCCGGUGCAUCUCA
This 82-nucleotide transfer RNA is filed under the name Cryptomonas sp. RNAcentral describes it as "tRNA-Trp". It matches the Rfam family "tRNA". Rfam says of the family: Transfer RNA (tRNA) molecules are approximately 80 nucleotides in length. Their secondary structure includes four short double-helical elements and three loops (D, anti-codon, and T loops). Further hydrogen bonds mediate the characteristic L-shaped molecular structure. tRNAs have two regions of fundamental functional importance: the anti-codon, which is responsible for specific mRNA codon recognition, and the 3' end, to which the tRNAs corresponding amino acid is attached (by aminoacyl-tRNA synthetases). tRNAs cope with the degeneracy of the genetic code in two manners: having more than one tRNA (with a specific anti-codon) for a particular amino acid; and 'wobble' base-pairing, i.e. permitting non-standard base-pairing at the 3rd anti-codon position. Lineage: Eukaryota; Cryptophyceae; Cryptomonadales; Cryptomonadaceae. The record is from RNAcentral.